ACCUGGGGAGUACGAACGCAAGUUUGAAACUCAAAGGAAUUGACGGGGGCCCGCACAAGCGGUGGGUUAUGUGGCUUAAUUCGAUGAUACGCGAGGAACCUUACCAAGGCUUAAAUGGGAAUUGAUCGGUUUAGAAAUAGACCUUCCUUCGGGCAAUUUUCAAGGUGCUGCAUGGUUGUCGUCAGCUCGUGCCGUGAGGUGUUAGGUUAAGUCCUGCAACGAGCGCAACCCCUGUCACUAGUUGCCAUCAUUCAGUUGGGGACUCUAGUGAGACUGCCUACGCAAGUAGAGAGGAAGGUGGGGGUGACGUCAAAUCAUCACGGCCCUUACGCCUUGGGCCACACACGUAAUACAAUGGCCGGUACAGAGGGCAGCUACACAGCGAUGUGAUGCAAAUCUCGAAAGCCGGUCUCAGUUCGGAUUGGAGUCUGCAACUCGGCUCUAUGAAGCUGGAAUCGCUAGUAAUCGCGCAUCAGCCAUGGCGCGGUGAACACGUUCCCGGGCCUUGUACACACCGCCCGUCAAGCCAUGGAAGUCUGGGGUACCUGAAGUCGGUGACCGUAAAAGGAGCUGCCUAGGGUAAAACAGGUAACUAGGGCUAAGUCGUAACAAGG
Molecule: ribosomal RNA, 614 nt
Filed under: uncultured bacterium
Lineage: Bacteria
Description: bacterial SSU rRNA
Rfam family: Bacterial small subunit ribosomal RNA
Source: RNAcentral